This 543-nucleotide ribosomal RNA is filed under the name uncultured fungus. RNAcentral describes it as "eukaryotic LSU rRNA". It matches the Rfam family "Eukaryotic large subunit ribosomal RNA", at positions 24 to 664 of the family's 3401-position model. Lineage: Eukaryota; Fungi. The record is from RNAcentral.
CCCGCUGAACUUAAGCAUAUAACUAAGCGGAGGAAAAGAAACUAACAAGGAUUCCCUCAGUAACGGCGAGUGAAGCGGGAAGAGCGCAGACUGAAAACCUUCGGGGAUGUAGUCUGGAGAUGGGAUAUCGAAUCUCAGGAAGCUGAUAAAGUGGUCUGGAGCGACACGCCGUGGAGGGUGAUAGCCCCGUUCGUAUCAGUGAAAAGAGAAAGUAGAUACCUAUCAACGAGUCGAGUUGUUUGGGAUUGCAGCUCAAAGCGGGAGGUAAAUUCCUUCCAACGCUAAAUACGGAUAGGAGACCGAUAGCAAACAAGUACCGUGAGGGAAAGAUGAAAAGCACUUUGAAAAGAGAGUGAAAUAGUACGUGAAAUUGCUGUAGCGGAACCGUUGGGAAGCAGUGUUGCUGGCUAUCGACUUGUCUUUAGCAUGCAGGUCAGGCUUGCUUCAGUUUAGGCCAGGGAAAAGGCACGAGUAAUCGUUGUCCUAUCUGGUUCUGGAGUGACUCUGGGGAAAUGCUUCUCAACAACCCGUCUUGAAACACGG